UUUUUGUCAGCUGGUAUUUCGCGCGCACUCGCGAUCGCAUGCAUUCUUGAAUCUUGUUCGUAGCAUGCUAGCACUGGAGCAGUGGAGAAGCGUUUUCUUGGAGUCGUCUUGUCUUCGCAUACGUCUCUCUGCCUUGGCCUGCUAGGAUUCGUGAAGAGACUACAACUGGUAGAUUUCUAGCAGCCAGUCCUAAGCUUAGUAGCGGUGAAGUACGCUAUUUCCCGCCGAUCGGACCAAAAUUAGCUCAAGCCACGGCUCCGGGCCGAGGUCGAAAAAGCCAUUAGCGCCUGGAUGCGCCAGCGCGCUAUGAGCUCCGUGGCCCCACAACUACUUCUCACUGAGCAGAUUCUACAUGGUCUGAAGACGUCUCCAGGAGUUGGGGCCUGGAUGAAGAGUUUCUCGCUGAUCCAGCCACGCAAGAUGUAGAACACUGCGUUUAGCGCGCUAUCGAGUAUCAGUGAGUUAGUCACCGGUGCACGCGCACAGCAGUACCCGUCAUCACUGAACCUACAGAAAACCUUCCAUUGCUGAAACUUGAAAGCCUGCAAUCAUAGCGAUGGCCGACUUUUGGUACGAUGUCAUCAGGCCAAUCUAUGGAUGGCUGCUCUAUAUCCGACUCGACGUUCAGGAGCACAAGCAGCUGGUUCGUGGAUUCAAGCACUCGAAAGGACUCGACCCCAACAGAGAUUCUGUCAGGGUGACGGUCACUGCAUUGCUGGAUACUGGCACAGAAGGGGGCAUGAGACUGAUUGAUGUGCUUUCCAGGAGUCCGCAGCGUUGCAACCAAUGUAUUGCUGAUUACCUCCAGAAGACAUGGGAUCUCCGUGUCCGGGCAGGUCCGGAAGCACUCACAAAAGGUGGAGUACUACAGCCUAACAAGUUUGCAACCACAUGUACUAGAAGUACAGUCAAACCUCGUUAGGACGAACUUCAAGGGACCGAACAAGUUUGUUUGUCUCAGUAUCCGGAGUUCUUCUUGUCCAGAUCUGACAAAAAUUGAUAUGCAUAUCAUAUGGAUUGUAUUUAUGUGGAGGUGCAUGCUGUGGCAAAUGUAAAACAUUUUUUCCUAACAUAACCCAGCAAUAGGUAAGUACAAUGUGCAAUGACACCAUUACA
This is a long non-coding RNA of Sycon ciliatum, 1116 nucleotides long. RefSeq lists it as uncharacterized. The transcript has 2 exons. The record is from RefSeq and is a predicted model, not a curated record. NCBI's taxonomy places the organism in Eukaryota, Metazoa, Porifera, Calcarea, Leucosolenida, Sycettidae.